GGCCAGUUAGCUCAGCUGGUUAGAGCGUGGCGCUAAUAACGCCAAGGUCGUGGGUUCGAUCCCUGUACAGGCCA
This 74-nucleotide transfer RNA is filed under the name Albula goreensis. It matches the Rfam family "tRNA". From Rfam's summary of the family: Transfer RNA (tRNA) molecules are approximately 80 nucleotides in length. The record is from Rfam by way of RNAcentral. Lineage: Eukaryota; Metazoa; Chordata; Actinopteri; Albuliformes; Albulidae.